UGAAAUGAUGAGUUAUCCAAGUCACACAGCUAAUUAAGUAGCAGAGCUAGGAUUAGAAUUCAGGUUUCCUGCCUCCCAAGAUUGUUAAAAUGAGUCUUUGGAAGCAAACCCCUAGUGACUUCUUAAAUCACUGGACAACCAGUUGUGGUAAAAUUAUUCUGGAAUGGAUUAUGGAGAGGUCCUGGCUUGCCUGAUGAAUAUAGCCCUGGAGCAGACAGAAGAAGAUGUAAGUGGACAACUGAAGAAUAAGUAUGGGGAUGCACUUAUCCAAGGAAGCAAUGGGUUGUACAUCAGUACGCAGAAGAGAAGGAUGUGAAGAAACCAAGAGAGCAACACUUUUCAUAGUUGGAUAUAUUUUUUAAUGAUUUUUUUCUAAUUUUUGCUUCUUUUGUGAUGUAAUUUGUCCUGUUUUUAAAAUAGUUGGUGAUUUUUCACUGACAUGUAAGAUAAAUGUAUACAAUUGUGGAUUUAAUUGUGAAGCAUUCUUUCACUUUUAAGUUUCAGUCAUUUUUCUUUUACCUCUUUGACAGUGUACAGAAUGCUAAAAGAAUUUUUAAAAAGACAAAAUGCAUCUCUUCCUACAAGAUUAUUU
Sapajus apella (tufted capuchin) is the source of this 592-nucleotide RNA transcript. The record is from RefSeq and is a predicted model, not a curated record. NCBI's taxonomy places the organism in Eukaryota, Metazoa, Chordata, Mammalia, Primates, Cebidae.